ACGGCCGUACCAUGCUGAAUAUACCGGUUCUCGUUAGAUCACCGAAGUUAAGCAUCAUUGGGCGCGGUCAGUACUUGGGAGGGUGACCACCUGGGAACACUGCGUGCCGU
RNAcentral lists this ribosomal RNA (110 nucleotides) under Caerostris darwini. Lineage: Eukaryota; Metazoa; Arthropoda; Arachnida; Araneae; Araneidae. The record is from RNAcentral.